AUGGCGGGGAAGGAGCAGGCCGGCGCGGGCGCGGGCGGGGCCGGGAGCGGCCCCCCGCCGCGAGUGCCAGUGCCCGCGGUUUCCACGCAGCCGCCGAUUAAGAAGCUGGUCAGGCAGCUCGACUUCAACUACGGGAACCCCGCCAUGGCGGCCGCCGCCGCCGCCGCUUCCCGGACGGUGCAGCCGAGGGCGCUGCAGGUCGGGUACCCGCAGCCGCACCAGCUGAGGGCCGCGCUGCCCAUGGGGGUGCCACAUCAGCUGCAGCCGCGGGGGCUGCCCGUGAUGCGGCCGCAUCAGAUGGUGCAUGCGCCGCUGCCGCGGCCGGCACUGCCGAUGGCGAUGCCCGUGCCCGUGCCGCAGGCUCGGUCGGCCCUGCCGCAGCCCGUACAGCGCCCGCCGGUCGCCGUUCCCUUGAAGCCAGAGUCACCAAAACCACGUGGACGGCUGUAUGAUGGGAAAGAUGGCACACCUACGAAGAAGAAGUGCUGCAAUUGUCGGCACUCCAAAUGUUUGAAGCUGUACUGUGAAUGUUUUGCAUCUGGUAUUUAUUGUGAUGGAUGCAACUGCACCAAUUGUUUUAAUAAUGUUGAGAAUGAGGUGGCUAGGCGUGAAGCUAUAGAGGCUACACUGGAGCGCAAUCCAGAUGCGUUCAGACCUAAGAUUGGGAGUAGCCCACACACAAAUCGGAAUAAUAUGGAGGUAGCUGGUGAUCUCCCUUUAAUAGGGAAGCAUAAUAAAGGGUGCCACUGCAAGAAGUCAGGAUGCCUCAAGAAAUACUGUGAAUGCUUCCAAGCUAAUAUACUAUGCUCUGAAAAUUGCAAGUGUAUGGAUUGCAAGAACUUCGACGGGAGUGAAGAUAGAAAACAUCUUAAUUUUGAUCACAAAAAUGUCAUUCACAUGCAACAAGCAGCAAAUGCAGCAGUAAAUGGUGCUAUUGGAGCAACUGCAUUGUCGUCGCCUUCCACAUCUAGGAAGAGAAAGCACAUCGAUUCUUCACUUGACCUUUCGACCAAGGAACAUUUAGCUAUCAGGAAUGGUCAACUAUCUCAGGUUAUUUAUCAGAAGAACGCAAUGGCCUCCGAUGGUUCACUUCCAAUAGGCCAGUCUGCGCAUCCUCAUAUGAUGGGGCCCUUUAAAGUCACCUACAGGCCUCUUUUAGCGGAUAUUAUUCAGCCAGGGGAUGUAAAGGAGCUAUGUAAACUUUUGGUGACAGUAUCGGGACAGGCUGCUAAGGCAUAUACUGGUCGGAAAAUCCAGGAAGAGAAGGUUGCAGAGAAGGAAGAUGGAGUGGGAGGUUCUCUAGCAUUGACAAACCAUGAUAGAGAAGGCAAAAGUAAAGAUCAAAAUCAUCGAAAAAUAUCAAUUGAUGAUCAUUCAAGUGGAGGAGCUGAUAUGGGCAAGGCAUCUCUAGACGAUUCCAGACCUGAUUGCACUGAUGACCAGAAGUCCAGUAGACCAAUGUCUCCCGGAACACUAGCGUUGCUGUGUGAUGAACAAGAUGCUAUGUUUGCAACUUCUCAAAAUGCUGUUGCUCCGCCAGCAAUAGAUGUCGAUCAGAACCGGUCGGAACUGUAUGCAGAGCAGGAAAGGUGUGUGUUGACAGAAUUCCGCGAUUGCCUGCGUAAGCUUGUGCAAUACGGUAGAAUGAAAGAGGAGAAGUACUCCAUGGCAAUCAGAUCUGAAGUGACCGGGCAUCCAGGGCAGGUAAAUGGUGCCCUGCGGAUACCGUAUCCAAAAGUAGAUGUACCUGUUGUAAAAACAUUUCCUCAGAGUUCCAGCAAACAUCUUGUUGCUGGGAACCCUUCGAGUGGGCAUUUAGACAAAAGACUGAAGCCUGAGAACACAUAG
RNAcentral lists this ribosomal RNA (1848 nucleotides) under Triticum aestivum (bread wheat). RNAcentral's name for it is "partial small subunit ribosomal RNA". Lineage: Eukaryota; Viridiplantae; Streptophyta; Magnoliopsida; Poales; Poaceae. The record is from RNAcentral.